This 975-nucleotide long non-coding RNA is filed under the name Callithrix jacchus (white-tufted-ear marmoset). Its description in RNAcentral is "lncRNA (ENSCJAG00000078913.1)". The record is from RNAcentral. Lineage: Eukaryota; Metazoa; Chordata; Mammalia; Primates; Cebidae.
GUGCCUGUGCUGCCCCGGAUCCUCGCUCUCUGGCCCCCUUCCUGGCACACAGCUCUCUCUGCGAGGGACGCGGCCACCCUCUGUCCCUGUCCCCUCCGCAGAAGGAGGGAGGCGCCGCUGCCUGCGGGGCCAGAGAGGGUGAAGCCAGUGCCAAGCGCCCCCGCAAGCCGCGCUCCAGAUCCCCCGUCACCAUCCCUCAGUGCGCGCAGUCCCCGCUCCCAGCGCGCCACGUUCUCCACCUGCCCGGAGCGCCCCAACGUCCCUGCUUCCAGAGAGCAGUUCCCUGAGUCCCGGCAGCCCCCCUCCGUCCUCUUCUCCCCCAAAGUCCGAGGAAGUCGAACUCAGAGCGGCCGGUCGGCUCGCCGAGGCGGCGGACAGUUGCUGCGAGAGCGCGGCGCGGAGCGAGACUGCGCGCAGCGCCCGGGGUCUCGCCCCAGAGGGCUGGCUCUGCACGCCCGGAGGCCGAAGUCCCGAACCCCACAAGCCGGGCCCGACCUGAGCCCUCUGCGUUACCUGGCACGGCCGGCGACUCUCCGGAGACCUUCGGUCCUGCCUGCUUCUGGGCGGGCGUCCAGCUCACAUCGCUGCUUUCCCCGCCGGGCGGCUGGUGUCCCUCUGGGUUCGUUCGGCCCCUGCUCGCGGCGCUGUCCCCGCCCCCCACCCCCCUGCCCCUCUGUCAGAAAUGUCACAGCUUUUCUGCCUUCGGAUGUUUCGCAAAGUCUCUGUGCGGUCACCAGGAGUUGGGGGGCACUGGCAGGUGCCCCAACCCCGCCGCCGCCCUGCCCUGCCCUUUCGCGGCGCCCUGCGUUCAGCCUGUCCGUGACAUCAAUGAUUGACAACAAGAGAGCACACUGUUCUGAGCUGUCUUUGAGUACUCUCCUGAUUUCCUUCUCUGCUUUGACAGGAUUACUGGGAUGGAGUCAAAGAUUGAUCACAUUUAUGUUAUUGAGGAUGAAUCACCCUUCUGAUAUCUGA